Molecule: ribosomal RNA, 253 nt
Filed under: uncultured prokaryote
Description: partial 16S ribosomal RNA
Rfam family: Bacterial small subunit ribosomal RNA
Source: RNAcentral
UACAGAGGGUGCGAGCGUUAAUCGGAGUUACUGGGCGUAAAGGGCGCGUAGGCGGUUAGAUGUGAGUGAUGUGAAAGCCCUGGGCUUAACCUGGGAAGUGCAUCGCAGACUAUGUAACUGGAGUAUAGGAGAGGGUGGCGGAAUUUCCGGUGUAGCGGUGAAAUGCGUAGAGAUCGGAAGGAACGUCAAUGGCGAAGGCAGCCACCUGGCCAAAUACUGACGCUGAGGCGCGAAAGCGUGGGGAGCGAACAGG